UUUUAAGAAUAACAUGCAUAAAAAGAAACAUUAUACAGUUAUUACCUCAAUCCUUCAAUCCAUCCUGGGAAUGGAUCCUUGUAGGUGAUCAAUAUAAUUGUUGUCCUUAGGAUUAUGAGUUGGAGAUCCUCCUUGAAGUGUCCCAGGAGCAUCUCUCCCAUUGCUUUUGUGAGAAUGAGUAUGUGUUUGGCCAUCCAUGUAGCCUUGCCCUGAAGAAUCAUAAUUAUAGUGGUGCAAAUAGGAUAUAUAUUUGUAUCAACGGGGGAGGCUGAUUUUAUGAAUCAUUUACCUCUCAAUACCUAGAACUCUCAUAGCUAAAGUUACUUCUUUUUCUGUGGCGUUCUUAUCUUGAAGGUCCUUUAGUGCUUCCUCUACCAACUUUCGCUCCACAUGAAUGUCUAAGCUAGAUCUCCCAUUAAGAGUCUCGCCAUAGUUCAAUGGCUUCUCUAGUAUCAAUCCUUCUUUUUCCCCACAUACAUAGGCUGAAAAGAACCAGUAUUUAAAUAAAGUUAAUAUGCCAAAGAAGUCACAUGAUAAUGAAAUUUGGUUAAACACGUAUAUAUAUAUACGGUGGAGCUGACCUGUGCUUACAUGGAGAAGCAUCUUUAGUUUUGAACACUGCCUGGAGAAUUCGACAACAUGCAUGGCACCCACUACAUUGACACUUAUAGCAGUAUCGUAUCUGCAAAAAUACGGAACUAAAUUUUUCGUUCUUCUAAUUUAGGAAAAAGAAUUUCAUUCUAUAUCUACCUUUCAUCAAAUCUUGUAGUUGCAGCAGAGUUUACAAUUAUGUCUACUUCUCUGCACAUCAGAUCUUUCAGCUCAGAAUUUAUCCCAAAACUAUCACAAGCUAUAUCCCGGGGAACUGGGAAAACCUUGUCUUGUAUAAAGCCCUGCAGAUUGGCGCCCAACUUCUCCCUUAGAACUCUGAACAGAUCUGUCUUUAGAACCUGCAGUUUAAACAUUGUAUCAAGCAGUGAACUCUGAUAAUCUUGGAUUCUCAUGUGGUAAUGCAUAAUGACUGCGAACGUCUAUUCUAAUGUGCUGGCUAUUAUUUCUACUGCUGCUAGCAUACAAUCAUAUAAGAGUACGUAGUAUUGUGGUAGUACCUCGUUGACAAAGCGUUGUUUAGCUGAAUUUGGAUCUGGAGCUCUAAUUAGCAAGUAGAGCUUCUUCACAUUUGGUUGGACUCCGAGUAUCUUCUCGGAGAGAACUACAAGAAUUUACAAUAGAAGCAGUAGCAACACUAAUAUUAUUCACAGAGCACUAUUAAAGGAGGUAGAGGUAUAGAGAAAGUACUCUUUGCUAGGUAGCCCGUUACACCAGUGAUGAAAAUGGUCUUGCCCUCGAGAAACUGGAGGUCAAUGCUGCGCGAUUCCAUUGAUGGAGAAUGUUCACGGAACUGAGCUAGAGAUGAAGGGAAAUUAUUACUGGAACUGGAAAACUCUAUAUAUGUAUUGCAAGGAAUAAGUUAUUAAUAUUGUAUUUGCACGGUAUACAAAAUCACCUGGAUUUUGAGUUAGAUACCAAUAUUCAACCACAAAGUAAUGUAGCCUAUCCGUGCAUGCAGUAGCAAUUGUUGUCCUUCCUGUCCAAAUACUUAUAGGGAAUAACCAGUGCAUAACAAUAGUUUUAAUGGGUUCUACCAAAAGUCUGGCCAUCUUGGAAACUUUGUAUUAAUUCCAUAGAGAAUAACAAUGGAAAAACUUAAUCAGCAUUAGAACAAAAGAAAUAAUUUUUAGAAAGCUAACUAAUUAUAGUACGUACAUAGAGGGUAAUUAAAGCCGUUAGAGAUUUAGUUGGAUAUCUUUCUUCAUGUACAUACAGAUUCUCACUUGUUUAUUGGCUGUGAUCCUUACGCAAAAUCUAGAGACUUUUGGGGUACAAUUAGAUGCCUCUAUAAUAAGAUUGUUGAUAAGGAAAUGGACCUUGCGAUUAACUCAACCUGAGGAUUGCCCAAGACAGACCAAGGCCUAACUCAACCUCUCAUGAGGGAGGAUUGCCUAAGACAGACCAAGGACCCUGCUCUGAUACCAUGAUAAAGAAAUGGACUUUGGACCUAACUCAACGUCAAAAGCUAGCUCAUGAGGGGAGGAUUGUCCAAGAUCAAGGACCCUUUAACCCAUCGAUGUGGGAUUCCAACAGUUGUACUAUAAUAGCCAAUUUUUUAUAGAAACAAAAUUUUCAUGAUAUGUUAUAUUAGAUGCUUAUUAUAACAACAUAUACUGUAGCAAUAAAAAAAAUAUAUAAAAAUAAAUGACUCCGUCAUAGAGAAAUUUCUUUAGUUGUUUUCUAGUUAGUCGAAUUGAUCUUCUGCUUUCAGUUUCCACGCUGAGAAAAGAAAAGAUUCAUGUAUAGGAUCAAUGAAGUUGGUUAAUGGAUUGGCAUAAACUAUCAGGUAUGAUAUAUAAAAGUAACAUUUUUUUUUUAUGAAAUAACAACUAUUAGUUGAGUGGUCAUCUAAGAAAUUGACUCUCCAUACAAAAUGCGUAUUUAAAUACUCACUUGCUUAUUAGUUUUUUUAAAAAAAAAAAAAUAUUACACGUGAACUACUUAAUAUCAGUUUUAACACUUUAAUUUAAACACGUAACAAUUUAUUUAGAAAAUCAAUCUCAUAACUAAAUGGAGUAACAUGCACAUUAGAUAAAAUACUGCAUGCGUACGUAAUAAAAUCAUAAACCAGGUGAAGUGAGAUAUUCUUUCGACAAAAAAUAUACUUUAAAAAUCAACCUUUAAUGAACUUGUGUUAUAAAUAUAUUUACAUUAUAAUAAAUGUCUAUCAAGAUCUAAUAAGAUCUAGUUGAUAUCUAUCAGGAUUUGAUGUAUUUGUCUUUUAGUGUGAAAUUAGGGGCAAAUUCUCCUAUAAAUAGAAGGGUUUCCUUGUAAAUCAUCCCCCAAGAGAAGAAAUAAGAAUUACUCACCUCCGAAUGAGGCAGAAUAACUAAGAAGAGUUAUUUCAAAAUCUACUUCUAAAGUAGUAAAUCUGAAAUUUAUUCAUGUAAUAAUAAAUCUAAAAUUUACUAAAGUAGAAAGUACAUGUCACGGUAAACUUGGAGUUUACUAGCAUAAAAGUUCAUAAGUUGACAUGAACGAUUGCGACAUCUUAAAGAUGUGCAUAUAAAGUAUUAAACAUAUAUUGAAGAAGUCAAAAAUUCUUCAUGAACUUUAAUGUUGUUUGUUCUCAUGAUACAUUGGUUGGAUCAACUAAUUUUGGGAUUGGAUCCCUUAAAAUCUUAAAAGUAUAAAAGGUGAAUAUGGGUCCGUUCACCUAUCAUGUGAUAUGUUGAUAUAAUAAUACUACUAAUAUUAUCUUGAACUCAUAUAAUAUAAUUAUUUAAGCAGCAACACAGCCUUCUUUCACAUAAUUCUUCUUUCUUAGAAAAUAUACUUCACAACUCCCGGAAUGUGAGUUUCCUUGAAGUAUUUUUCCCACUGAAUGGUUGUUGGAUCAAAAUUAAAUGUAUCAUCUGCAUUGCUUUCUCUUAUUGCCAUUCGCAACAUUUCAGCAUUGGUAUCAUCGAAACUGGUAAAUUUCAGCAUGAAUGGUGUUAGAAUAUCAAUUUGGAAAGCUAUAAUAAGUUCGAUAAAUUUAGUUUCCAGUAGUAUAUCAAACGUUAACAAUUUGACAGACGUUAGUUUAAUGAAAGGAAAGGGGGACAUCAAAUAAUAAACUCACACUCCUUUGAAGAACAUGUAAGGUUUGUAGAGUUCAGCAAGUCGAAUGACGUGAUUGAUCCUUCUUUGUAAGAUUAUAUGCUGGGCUUGAAAAUGUUGGCAAAGUAUCAAGUGUACCCACUUCAUUAUCUGAAACAUGUUAAAACUAUAUAUAAAUUUAGCCAGUGGCAGGACAUCAAUUCUUUUUCUACACAUCUCUCUUAUCAUUAAUUUCCCUCUUUUAGUUUUCUUGUUUAUACCAAACUGAUUUUUCAGUCUAAUUAACUUAUCAGUGUUCUAUGUCUGAAAUGUUGAAAUUUAUAUUUGAUGCGUCCAUAUUUUCAAAUACAUAUAGUCCUCGUUAGUACUAUAUAUCCCACUUCAUGGUAAACUGAAGCCAUAAAUGCGUCGAUUUUACAGUUAUGUUAGAAGGCAUUACUAUGAAAACUAACCUUUAAUAAUGGCAUGUAGUGGAUUGCUAUGUAUUUGUGAAGGCUAGCCGUGCUAUUCAGGAAACGAAAUUCCUUCACUUUGAUCGGGUUUCCUCUUUCGUCAAUCCACGGGAAUUUCUUGAAGUAAUCAACGAAAAUUUGUGCUAUAUCACCAAUAUUUAGUUGAUUCCUCCUAGAGGAGCUAAUAUGGUAAACAACUGUAUGGGAAGAUGGAUUCUGAUGGGCAGCCAUAGCCGCGAUGACUGAAUUCACAACCAUAUCAGCUGGAAUCUAGGCAAAAUUGCAAGAUGGUAAUAAGGAAUUAGUGUAAAUACUUAGGAACUCGACCUUUAGGUAGAUGAACUGAUUAAGAGCAGCCGAUGCAAAGUUGCGUGUUUCCAUUGUGACAUACGAUAUACACUACAUAUACACAUGACUAGUUCUCAUACCACAUCUAAUAUUGAUCCUCUGUCACCCACUACAACAUUCAGCUUUCCUUUACCAUAGCCAACAAUGUAGGUGUCCACAGUUCUGUGGCAAGGAAGAAACAUACAUAUUAGUUUACUAAUAAGACUUACAAUUCUUCAAUUUUCAUGUGUGCAUGCAUAAAACGAGUACAGUUAUUACUUCAAUCCUUCAAUCCAUCCGGGGAAUGGCUCCUUAUAAGUGCUCAAUAUAAUUGUUGGCCUUAGGAUUAUGAGUCGGAGAUCCUCCUUUAGGUGUCCCAGGAGCAUCUCUCCCAUUGCUUUUGUGAAUGAGUAUGUGUUUGGCCAUCCAUGUAGCCUUGCCCU
RNAcentral lists this long non-coding RNA (4876 nucleotides) under Capsicum annuum. RNAcentral describes it as "long non-coding RNA (CANN_LNC013148)". Lineage: Eukaryota; Viridiplantae; Streptophyta; Magnoliopsida; Solanales; Solanaceae. The record is from RNAcentral.